Molecule: ribosomal RNA, 459 nt
Filed under: uncultured bacterium
Lineage: Bacteria
Description: partial 16S ribosomal RNA
Rfam family: Bacterial small subunit ribosomal RNA
Source: RNAcentral
CCUACGGGAGGCAGCAGUGAGGAAUAUUGGUCAAUGGGCGGGAGCCUGAACCAGCCAAGCCGCGUGAGGGAAGAAGGUACAGCGUAUCGUAAACCUCUUUUGUCAGGGAACAAAGGCGGGGACUAGUCCCCGGAUGAGGGUACCUGAAGAAAAAGCAUCGGCUAACUCCGUGCCAGCAGCCGCGGUAAUACGGGGGAGGCGAGCGUUAUCCGGAUUUAUGGGGUUUAAAGGGUGCGCAGGCGGCCUGUUAAGUCAGCGGUAAAAGCCCGGGGCUCAACCCCGGCGAGCCGUUGAAACUGGCGGGCUGGAGUUGGAGAGAGGUACGCGGAAUGCGAGGUGUAGCGGUGAAAUGCUUAGAUAUCGCGCAGAACCCCGAUUGCGAAGGCAGCGUACCGGCUCCACACUGACGCUGAGGCACGAAAGCGUGGGUAUCGAACAGGAUUAGAUACCCGAGUAGUC